AUCCUGCGCUAUAAAAUGUGACGCUCUUGUUCCACAGUCUUCUUUAGCUUCAAGCUUUCAACCUGUCUGUGAGUAAUCGUGUGAAGAAAUGUGGCUUAAAACUAGGGAAUUCUUAGGCCUUUCUAUGAUUGCAGUGUAUAGUAACCUGCAUGGUUUGGGAUUGCAUAAAAGAUCCUCUUGUGAAGGGACUGGCCAACUGGACUUCAGGACAAAAUGUGGGUGAAUAAUCAUGGCAAUGAAAGCGUAAAAUUAAUGUUUUGCAUCUGAAGAAGCUUGUCCUGAUGGGUGUGAUCUGAAGAAUGUCCACUAGAAGGCGCAACACCCCAUUUUUGGUGACUGGAGGUCCCAUAUGGGUAGAUUGAAGAAUGAAUGCUGGCAGACUAUCGUUCUUCCAGUAUUGUAAAAUGAAAAGUAAGGUUUUUGUUCUUGAACAGUUGAAUGUACAUGAUAAAUUUGGUCAUAUACCAAGGCUAUUAGGAUACAUGGUUCCUGAUUUGCUGUGGACAUGACCGAAAAUUAAAACCCAUCCUAAUGAGUCGCUGUCAGUUGUAUUUCUGAUGGGAUUUAUUAGGAACAUUUUUCUUAAAUUCCCUCAAUAAACAACUCAAUGCAAGGUUGUACGUCUUUAACCAUUUAUGCUGUAACAGGUUUGGAGUUGGCAUGAAGGGUUUCUCAGCCAGACAUUUCUUGGAAGGUGAGAGCUGUUCCAAAUCUUUGGAUCACUUUCAAAGGGGGUCAACCACUUCUUUUCACUGCCGAUCCUUAACGCCGUCAUCCCACAUCAGUGCUCUAUGAGAUGUUUGGCAGUUUUUAUUUAUUUUUUUUGCUAAAUUAACUGCUUGCUGUCUUUGGUGCAACACCUGAUUCACUUAAAGCCAUAUCAUUGGCUUAUUGUAUUUGCACUUUUGAUAUGAU
This is a long non-coding RNA of Carassius carassius (crucian carp), 915 nucleotides long. RefSeq lists it as uncharacterized. The record is from RefSeq and is a predicted model, not a curated record. NCBI's taxonomy places the organism in Eukaryota, Metazoa, Chordata, Actinopteri, Cypriniformes, Cyprinidae. The transcript is spliced from 6 exons.